AGUGAACGCUGGCGGUAGGCCUAACACAUGCAAGUCGAACGGCAGCACAGUAAGAGCUUGCUCUUACGGGUGGCGAGUGGCGGACGGGUGAGGCAUACAUCGGAAUCUACUUUUUCGUGGGGGAUAACGUAGGGAAACUUACGCUAAUACCGCAUACGACCUACGGGUGAAAGCAGGGGAUCUUCGGACCUUGCGCGAUUGAAUGAGCCGAUGUCGGAUUAGCUAGUUGGCGGGGUAAAGGCCCAACAAGGCGACGAUCCGUAGCUGGUCUGAGAGGAUGGUCAGCCACACUGGAACUGAGACACGGUCCAGACUCCUACGGGAGGCAGCAGUGGGGAAUAUUGGACAAUGGGCGCAAGCCUGAUCCAGCCAUACCGCGUGAGUGAAGAAGGCCUUCGGGUUGUAAAGCCCUUUUGUUGGGAAAGAAAAGCAGCAGGUUAAUACCCCGCUGUUCUGACGGUACCCAAAGAAUAAGCACCGGCUAACUUCGUG
Molecule: ribosomal RNA, 492 nt
Filed under: uncultured bacterium
Lineage: Bacteria
Description: partial 16S ribosomal RNA
Rfam family: Bacterial small subunit ribosomal RNA
Source: RNAcentral